GGGGUUAUAGUUAAAUCUAACACUUAAUUUGCAAUUAAGAGAUACUAAAAAAUUAGUUAACCUCG
This 65-nucleotide transfer RNA is filed under the name Eurygaster testudinaria. Its description in RNAcentral is "tRNA-Ala". The record is from RNAcentral. Lineage: Eukaryota; Metazoa; Arthropoda; Insecta; Hemiptera; Scutelleridae.